RNAcentral lists this long non-coding RNA (534 nucleotides) under Canis lupus familiaris (dog). Its description in RNAcentral is "lncRNA (ENSCAFG00845021449.1)". Lineage: Eukaryota; Metazoa; Chordata; Mammalia; Carnivora; Canidae. The record is from RNAcentral.
UGCACUGAUUCUUCAGGGUGAUUUUUUUUCUCUCUCUCAGAUUUUAAGGAACUCCUACCAAGUGAAGGAGACAGUGGUGCUGUGAAGCAUGGUGCAUAUGGUUGGAUGGCUCACUCAGCACCUUCCAGCUUGUCUUCCUCUGCUACACAGACUGGAAGGGCAGUUGCAAGAAUCUGAAACAAAGUGACAGACUACUGAAAUCACAGACUCUGACAAGUCGAGAAGUGCAGUGUCAUCCAAGCCAAACCUCUUCUACAAUCUCUGAAAGAUGCUCAUCUUCUGGCUGAAUAGUCCACUGAAAAGAUACUCACCAUCCCACUGACACAGUUCCAGCCAGCGUUUAUGGAGCACCUGCUGCGUGCCAAGCUCUGUUCCCCUGGCCCCUGGCCCCGUGGAGUCUAUGGUCUGAGGCAGGGGGGAAGGUGAGUGAGCAAGUAGCUAUAGUUACAUGUGGGCUGUUUUAGUUGCCCCCUGUUGUUGAAGGAGGUUAUUCCCAACCUGGGGUGGGAGGGAUAACUGAACACAUGCCACACA